RNAcentral lists this ribosomal RNA (803 nucleotides) under Rodmanochytrium pyriforme. RNAcentral's name for it is "Chytridiomycetes sp. PML-2019b partial large subunit ribosomal RNA". It matches the Rfam family "Eukaryotic large subunit ribosomal RNA", at positions 107 to 858 of the family's 3401-position model. Lineage: Eukaryota; Fungi; Chytridiomycota; Chytridiomycetes; Chytridiales; Chytriomycetaceae. The record is from RNAcentral.
GCUCAAAUUUGAAAUCUGGCAGGUUCCCCUGUCCGAAUUGUAGUUUCAAGGUGCGUUUUCGGGGGCGGCUUAGGUCCAAGUCUGUUGGAAUGCAGUGCCAUAGAGGGUGAGAGCCCCGUAGGGCCUGACGUUCGCUCCUGUACGAUACGUAUCCGAAGAGUCGCAUAGUUUGAGAAUGCUGUGCAAAGUGGGUGGUAAAUAUCAUCUAAAGCUAAAUAUUGGCGAGAGACCGAUAGCGAACAAGUACCGUGAGGGAAAGAUGAAAAGAACUUUGAAAAGAGAGUUAAAAGUACGUGAAAUUGUCAAAAGGGAAACGCUUGAAACCAGUAUCGGGACUAGAUUAUCAACCGCAAGGUGCACUAGUCUAGUUCUGGGUUAGCAUCAGUUUGGUUUGGAGUAAAAAGCGAGUGGAAGGUAGCCUUUCGAGGUGUUAUAGCCGCUCGUCAUGCUCUGGACUGGACUGAGGACCGCAGGUAUUUUGGGGAACUUGCCGCCAUGGAAAGCCCAUGUAUAAACAACUUGUUGAUUAUACGUGUUCCCAAGUGCACGGUAGGGUACCACUUCUACCUUAGGAUGCUGACGAAAUGGUUUUAAACGACCCGUCUUGAAACACGGACCAAGGAGUCCAACACACAUGCGAGUGUUUGGGUGGCAAACCCGAGCGCGAAAUGAAAGUAAACGUAGGUGGGAUCCGCAAGGUGCACCAUCGACCGGUCCGGAGAUUUAUGAAAGAUCUGAGUAAGAGCAUGUUUGUUGGGACCCGAAAGAUGGUGAACUAUGCCUGAAUAGGGUGAAGUCAGAGG